GAUGAAGAACGUAGCGAAAUGCGAUAAGUAAUGUGAAUUGCAGAAUUCAGUGAAUCAUCGAAUCUUUGAACGCACAUUGCGCCCCUUGGUAUUCCGAGGGGCAUGCCUGUUCGAGCGUCAUUAUAACCCCUCAAGCUCAGCUUGGUGUUGGGGCCUGCUGCACUGGCAGCCCUUAAAAUCAGUGGCGGCGCCAUCUGGCUCUAAGCGUAGUAAUUCUUCUCGCUAUGGAGUCCUGGUGGAUGCUUGCCAUCAACCCCCAAUUUUUCUAUGGUUGACCUCGGAUCAGGUAGGGAUACCCGCUGAACUUAAGCAUAUCAUAAGCGGGGGA
Molecule: unclassified non-coding RNA, 328 nt
Filed under: soil metagenome
Description: partial contains 5.8S ribosomal RNA, internal transcribed spacer 2, and large subunit ribosomal RNA
Rfam family: 5.8S ribosomal RNA (bases 1-120)
Source: RNAcentral